Molecule: non-coding RNA, 80 nt
Filed under: unclassified sequences
Description: pemK RNA
Rfam family: pemK RNA
Source: RNAcentral
AUAAUGAUACUUCCGUCCAGUCACAGUCUAAAGCAAUGAGGGCGGCUCGUGAGAACCACAGAGAGGUGCAAGUCCUAUGA